This 74-nucleotide transfer RNA is filed under the name delta proteobacterium ML8_F1. RNAcentral describes it as "tRNA-Gly". It matches the Rfam family "tRNA". From Rfam's summary of the family: Transfer RNA (tRNA) molecules are approximately 80 nucleotides in length. Their secondary structure includes four short double-helical elements and three loops (D, anti-codon, and T loops). Further hydrogen bonds mediate the characteristic L-shaped molecular structure. tRNAs have two regions of fundamental functional importance: the anti-codon, which is responsible for specific mRNA codon recognition, and the 3' end, to which the tRNAs corresponding amino acid is attached (by aminoacyl-tRNA synthetases). tRNAs cope with the degeneracy of the genetic code in two manners: having more than one tRNA (with a specific anti-codon) for a particular amino acid; and 'wobble' base-pairing, i.e. permitting non-standard base-pairing at the 3rd anti-codon position. Lineage: Bacteria; Deltaproteobacteria. The record is from RNAcentral.
GCGGGUGUAGCUCAGUGGUAGAGUUCUGGCUUCCCAAGCCAGCUGCGUGGGUUCAAUUCCCAUCACCCGCUCCA